This is a long non-coding RNA of Homo sapiens (human), 487 nucleotides long. The record is from Ensembl. Lineage: Eukaryota; Metazoa; Chordata; Mammalia; Primates; Hominidae.
GUGAUUUCAGCCACAGAAAUUUGGGAGAGAUGAGUCUUUGGCUCAGCAGAAUGGGCCUAGGUGGAGCUUGAAAUUAAUGAAGAGAUGCUGCUUCCAGCUUUUUGAGCAAGAAGAAGUUUGGCCUCCAGUUAUUACACCUUGAGGUCAGCGGGUAUCUCAAGUCUGAGUAGUUAUAAAAGUGAGCUGAUGUAGAAACACCACCAAAGCAACGUUUUAUCUAAAUAUUUCAGAUCCCCCAUUAUAAAUCAUUUAUUAUGAUUACCCUUUUGGUGUCAUGGAAUGAGAUGAUGAGCUUUUCUUAAUGAAGUAUUUCAUAGACAUAUUUUUUCCAUUUAUCUUGGUGUUGGAUGCUAUGUGACCUGAAUGGCAAAUGAGGAAAUAUUUGUGCAACUCCUGAAAUGCACACAUCUCCCCAUGCCAGAGUGCAGGAGCGGACAGGGCUUUCCCUGGCAGCAAUAGGAGCCCGGUCCUGAGUAGGGCCUCUCCA